UCUGCCCAGGCUCUUCACUCCUUACCCCUGCCCGGCGCAAGAACACGCUGCCCCCUGGCGGAUGUGAGGGGUCCAGCAGUUCCCCAGGGAACUUAACCAACCCCUCCCCGCCACGUCCUGCGGGAGCCCACAGAGUGCCCAUUCCUGCUGUCCGGAAACCGCAGUGCAGCUCUGGAACCUGGCUCGCCUCGCCUCGCUUCACUGCGUUUGGAACCCGAAACCGAAGUAUACCGAGUGCAAACAAGCCCUGCCCCUUUAAAAGUGAAACCUAGGCGGUUGGCUACUCCGUGUCCAGUAGGCAAUCCACCGUAGCAUCACGGAGUUUGAGUUUGUGGCUUUUGCCAGCACAGGUGGCGCCCAGAUGAGAUGUAGGUAGCAGGCAAGAAGACAUAAUCCACAGAGCUCCGGAGACUUGAGAAAACCCCGGCCAGCACAGAAGUCCUCUGGAGAGGACAGCGAAGACAAGGGAGGGAAAUACCAGGAGAAUAGAAACCACUAGGGGUUAGUCAGAUACAGUGUCCACCGCCCAAGUUGGACCUCAAAGCUCAAGCGCCAGCAAGAAUAAAAAAAAAAAAAAAAAA
Cricetulus griseus (Chinese hamster) is the source of this 581-nucleotide non-coding RNA. The record is from RefSeq and is a predicted model, not a curated record. Lineage: Eukaryota; Metazoa; Chordata; Mammalia; Rodentia; Cricetidae.